GCGGCGGACGGGUGAGUAACGCAUAGGAAUCUACCCAGUCGUGGGGGAUAACCUGAGGAAACUCAGGCUAUACCGCAUACGUCCUACGGGAGAAAGCGGGGGCUCUUCGGACCUCGCGCGAUUGGAUGAGCCUAUGUCGGAUUAGCUAGUUGGUAAGGUAACGGCUUACCAAGGCAACGAUCCGUAGCUGGUCUGAGAGGAUGAUCAGCCACACCGGGACUGAGACACGGCCCGGACUCCUACGGGAGGCAGCAGUGGGGAAUAUUGGACAAUGGGCGAAAGCCUGAUCCAGCCAUGCCGCGUGUGUGAAGAAGGCUUUCGGGUUGUAAAGCACUUUCAGCGAGGAAGAAAGCGUGCCGUUUAAUACACGGUACGGACGACAUCACUCGCAGAAGAAGCACCGGCUA
RNAcentral lists this ribosomal RNA (407 nucleotides) under Chromohalobacter beijerinckii. RNAcentral's name for it is "bacterial SSU rRNA". It matches the Rfam family "Bacterial small subunit ribosomal RNA", at positions 95 to 499 of the family's 1533-position model. The record is from RNAcentral. Lineage: Bacteria; Pseudomonadati; Pseudomonadota; Gammaproteobacteria; Oceanospirillales; Halomonadaceae.